CUACGGGUGGCAGCAGUGGGGAAUAUUGCACAAUGGGCGCAAGCCUGAUGCAGCCAUGCCGCGUGUAUGAAGAAGGCCUUCGGGUUGUAAAGUACUUUCAGCGGGGAGGAAGGGAGUAAAGUUAAUACCUUUGCUCAUUGACGUUACCCGCAGAAGAAGCACCGGCUAACUCCGUGCCAGCAGCUGCGGUAAUACGGAGGGUGCAAGCGUUAAUCGGAAUUACUGGGCGUAAAGCGCACGCAGGCGGUUUGUUAAGUCAGAUGUGAAAUCCCCGGGCUCAACCUGGGAACUGCAUCUGAUACUGGCAAGCUUGAGUCUCGUAGAGGGGGGUAGAAUUCCAGGUGUAGCGGUGAAAUGCGUAGAGAUCUGGAGGAAUACCGGUGGCGAAGGCGGCCCCCUGGACGAAGACUGACGCUCAGGUGCGAAAGCGUGGGGAGCAAACAGGAUUAGAUACCCUGGUAGUC
This 464-nucleotide ribosomal RNA is filed under the name uncultured bacterium. RNAcentral describes it as "partial 16S ribosomal RNA". It matches the Rfam family "Bacterial small subunit ribosomal RNA", at positions 339 to 795 of the family's 1533-position model. The record is from RNAcentral.